Molecule: ribosomal RNA, 220 nt
Filed under: uncultured bacterium
Lineage: Bacteria
Description: partial 16S ribosomal RNA
Rfam family: Bacterial small subunit ribosomal RNA
Source: RNAcentral
GCAAGUCGAGCGAGAUCUUCGGGUCUAGCGGCGGACGGGUGAGUAACGCGUGGGAACGUGCCCUUUGCUACGGAAUAGCCCCGGGAAACUGGGAGUAAUACCGUAUGUGCCCUUUGGGGGAAAGAUUUAUCGGCAAAGGAUCGGCCCGCGUUGGAUUAGGUAGUUGGUGGGGUAAUGGCCUACCAAGCCGACGAUCCAUAGCUGGUUUGAGAGGAUGAUC